ACCAAAUUUUUGUAACUUCAGUAAAAUUGGAGCCCUCAGACCUGUCAAGCUCUUUAAUGAAGUAGAUAAGUUCUGCAACCUUCUUCUAACAAUUAGUCUACUUGUUAGGUUGGCGCACUUCGGCAGAGCAGCAGCUGUCCGACAUAAAACUUAUCAAGAUGGUGCAACUAAAUAAUGCUGAGAUUGGACAAGACUUGAGUGGUACAGAGGCAACAUCUGAUCUCAAAUCUGAGACCGUAUCACAAGAUGAAGAGCAAAUUUGCAAUCAUAUAAGAGAAGCUGCCUCCAGCAUAUUCACUCAGUUUCUCUCAGAAAGUGCAUCUACAAAAUUGAAGAUUGAUCCAGUUUUGGUAGAGCAGUUAUGGACGAAGAUUUGUUCACAGCCACCAGACGAAACUUGGUUUGAUAAUGUGCAAGCAGCAAUCUUGAAAGAACUACAAACUGAUGAAAAUUACCUGAAUGGUUUCCGUGGGAGUCAGUCAUACAUCAAACUCCUCUCAGACCUUGAGUUAUUCCAUCAUAAGGAAGAAGAUCUCCUUCUUCAGAUUCCACCAGUCUUUCGGAUAAUACAAGUGUUGCCUCUUUGCCAUUCGAUUCCAUCAAAGAAUUUGGACCAGAUGACUUCUUGA
RNAcentral lists this long non-coding RNA (629 nucleotides) under Bemisia tabaci. RNAcentral describes it as "lncRNA ENSSSA2NGG007121". The record is from RNAcentral. Lineage: Eukaryota; Metazoa; Arthropoda; Insecta; Hemiptera; Aleyrodidae.